RNAcentral lists this long non-coding RNA (1319 nucleotides) under Homo sapiens (human). Its description in RNAcentral is "non-protein coding lnc-CACNA1A-1:3". Lineage: Eukaryota; Metazoa; Chordata; Mammalia; Primates; Hominidae. The record is from RNAcentral.
CUCCAUCUGACUGCAAAGGAGGCUGGGAAAUGUCAACCUAGGCAGCCAUGUUCCUGGCCACCAUUCUAUUACUUUGAAAGAAGAAAAUGGACUUAGGACGAAGGAUGUGGCUCAGACAUCUAGGAGAUCUGAAGUGGUACCAUCCAAGCCCUAGGGAAAUAAGAUGCAGCACCAAGGUACCAAGGAAAAGGGUAGAAGCACUCCGAGUUGACCUGAGAUGAACUUUUCACCACUCUUGAAGAAUGAGGACUUGAACUAGUGAUCACUUUCAGUUCUAGAAAAAUAAGGUGGCCGGGUGAGGUGGCUCAUGCCUGUACUCCCAGUGCUUUGGGAGGCCGAGGUGGGCGGAUCACGAGAUCAGGAGUUUGAGACUAGCCCGGCCAACAUGGUGAAACCUCGUCUCUACUAAAAAUACAAAAAAUUAGCUGGGCAAGGUGGUGGGCACCUGUAAUCCCAGCUGCUCAGGAGGCUGAGGCAGGAGAAUUGCUUGAACCCGGGAGGCAGAGGUUGCAGUGAGCCGAGAUCACGCCAUUGCACUCCAGCCUGGGCGACAGUGCGAGGCUCUCAAAACAAACAAACAAAAAAAAAUGCACAAAAAACAAAAAUAAGAUUACAUCUCUUAAGUCUCUAAAUUGGGAACUGAAAUUCACACCUGCAACAUCUUUAAUGAUCCAAUGGAAAGAAGUCCAAACUCCUUGACCAGGGUUUGACAAAUUAUGGCCCACGGGCCAAAUUUGGUUGGCUGCCUGUUUUUGUUAUUAAAGAGUUUUUGGAAUACUGCCAUGCCCAUUUGCGUAUGUAUUGCCUCUGGCUAUUUUUGUACUGCAGCAUCAGGGUUGAGUUAUUGUGACAGAGACACUAGAGCCUGCAAAACCAAAAAGAUUUAUUAUCUGAUCCACUUUAGAAGAAAUUUGCCAACCUUUGUCCUAGAUCAAGUUUUCAAGACCGUCCACAAUUUAAGACCAUUUUUUUUUUUUUUGAGACGAAGUGUUGCUCUUGUCGCCCAGGCUGAAGUACAAUGGCACGAUCUCGGCUCACUGCAACCUCCGCCUCCUGGGUUCAAGCAAUUCUCCUGCCUCAGCCUCCUGCAUAGCUGGGAUUGCAGGUACACACCACCAUAUCCGACUAAUUUUUAUAUUUUUAGUAGAAACGGGGUUUCACCAUGUUGGCCAGGCUGGUCUCGAACUCCUGACCUCGUAAUCCACCUGCCUCAGCCUCCCAAAGUGCCGGGCAUGAGCCACCACGCCCGGCCUAAGACCAGUUUUUAAAACAUAUACUCUGCCACUCUACCACAUAAACUUUCCAAGGUACUAAAACCA